CUAGCAUAUCAAUAAGCGGAGGAAAAGAAACCAACAGGGAUUGCCUCAGUAACGGCGAGUGAAGCGGCAACAGCUCAAAUUUGAAAUCUGGAGCCUUCGGCUUCCGAGUUGUAAUUUGAAGAGGAUGUUUCGGUGCGACCUGGGCCUAAGUUCCUUGGAACAGGACGUCAUGGAGGGUGAGAAUCCCGUACAUGGCUGCAGGUUUGCUUCUAUGUGAAACUCCUUCGAAGAGUCGAGUUGUUUGGGAAUGCAGCUCAAAAUGGGUGGUAAAUUUCAUCUAAAGCUAAAUAUUGGCGGGAGACCGAUAGCGCACAAGUAGAGUGAUCGAAAGAUGAAAAGCACUUUGAAAAGAGAGUUAAACAGUACGUGAAAUUGUUGAAAGGGAAGCGCUUGCAAUCAGACUCGCCUUCAGUUGAUCAACCUUCCUUCUGGUUGGUGCACUCUGCUGUUGGCGGGCCAGCAUCAGUUGGGGCGGCGGGACAAAGGCAGUGGGAAUGUGGCUCGCUUCGGCGAGUGUUAUAGCCCAUUGUGUCAUGCCGCCAGCCCCGACUGAGGUCCGCGGUUCGCCUAGGAUGCUGGCUUAAUGGUUGUAAGCGACCCGUCUUGAAACACGGACCAAGGAGUCUAACAUCUAUGCGAGUCUUUGGGUGUAAAACCCAUGGGCGAAAUGAAAGUGAACGGAGGUGGGAGUCUUCGGAUGCACCAUCGACCGAUCCUGAUGUUCUCGGAUGGAUUUGAGUAUGAGCAUAGCUGUUGGGACCCGAAAGAUGGUGAACUAUGCCUGAAUAGGGUGAAGCCAGAGGAAACUCUGGUGGAGGCUCGCAGCGGUUCUGACGUGCAAAUCGAUCGUCAAAUUUGGGUAUAGGGGCGAAAGACUAAUCGAACCAUC
This 889-nucleotide ribosomal RNA is filed under the name Roigiella syzygii. RNAcentral describes it as "partial large subunit ribosomal RNA". It matches the Rfam family "Eukaryotic large subunit ribosomal RNA", at positions 34 to 944 of the family's 3401-position model. The record is from RNAcentral. Lineage: Eukaryota; Fungi; Ascomycota.